Molecule: ribosomal RNA, 270 nt
Filed under: uncultured archaeon
Lineage: Archaea
Description: partial 16S ribosomal RNA
Rfam family: Archaeal small subunit ribosomal RNA
Source: RNAcentral
CAGCACCUCAAGUGGUCAGGAUGAUUAUUGGGCCUAAAGCAUCCGUAGCCUGCUUUGUUAGUUUUCGGUUAAAUCCAUACGCUCAACGUAUGGGCUGCCGGGAAUACUGCAAAGCUAGGGAGUGGGAGAGGUAGACGGUACUCGGUAGGAAGGGGUAAGAUCCUUUGAUCUAUUGAUGACCACCUGUGGCGAAGGCGGUCUACCAGAACACGUCCGACGGUGAGGGAUGAAAGCUGGGGGAGCAAACCGGAUUAGAUACCCGAGUAGUCC